This 837-nucleotide ribosomal RNA is filed under the name uncultured fungus. RNAcentral's name for it is "SSU rRNA". It matches the Rfam family "Eukaryotic small subunit ribosomal RNA", at positions 24 to 871 of the family's 1831-position model. Lineage: Eukaryota; Fungi. The record is from RNAcentral.
UCAUAUGCUUGUCUCAAAGAUUAAGCCAUGCAUGUCUAAGUAUAAGCAAUUAUACCGUGAAACUGCGAAUGGCUCAUUAAAUCAGUUAUCGUUUAUUUGAUAGUACCUUACUACUUGGAUAACCGUGGUAAUUCUAGAGCUAAUACAUGCUGAAAACCCCAACUUCGGGAGGGGUGUAUUUAUUAGAUAAAAAACCAACGCCCUUCGGGGCUUCUUGGUGAUUCAUGAUAACUUCACGGAUCGCAUGGCCUUGCGCCGGCGACGGUUCAUUCAAAUUUCUGCCCUAUCAACUUUCGAUGGUAAGGUAUUGGCUUACCAUGGUUUCAACGGGUAACGGGGAAUUAGGGUUCGAUUCCGGAGAGGGAGCCUGAGAAACGGCUACCACAUCCAAGGAAGGCAGCAGGCGCGCAAAUUACCCAAUCCCGACACGGGGAGGUAGUGACAAUAAAUACUGAUACAGGGCUCUUUUGGGUCUUGUAAUUGGAAUGAGUACAAUUUAAACCUCUUAACGAGGAACAAUUGGAGGGCAAGUCUGGUGCCAGCAGCCGCGGUAAUUCCAGCUCCAAUAGCGUAUAUUAAAGUUGUUGCAGUUAAAAAGCUCGUAGUUGAAACUUGGGCCUGGCUGGCAGGUCCGCCUCACCGCGUGUACUUGUCCGGCCGGGCCUUUCCUUCUGGAGAACCUCAUGCCCUUCACUGGGUGUGCUGGGGAACCAGGACUUUUACUUUGAAAAAAUUAGAGUGUUCAAAGCAGGCCUUUGCUCGAAUACGUUAGCAUGGAAUAAUAGAAUAGGACGUGCGGUCCUAUUUUGUUGGUUUCUAGGACCGCCGUAAUGAUUA